GAUGAACGCUGGCGGCGUGCCUAAUACAUGCAAGUCGAGCGAACAGACGAGGAGCUUGCUCCUCUGACGUUAGCGGCGGACGGGUGAGUAACACGUGGAUAACCUACCUAUAAGACUGGGAUAACUUCGGGAAACCGGAGCUAAUACCGGAUAAUAUAUUGAACCGCAUGGUUCAAUAGUGAAAGACGGUUUUGCUGUCACUUAUAGAUGGAUCCGCGCCGCAUUAGCUAGUUGGUAAGGUAACGGCUUACCAAGGCAACGAUGCGUAGCCGACCUGAGAGGGUGAUCGGUCACACUGGAACUGAGACACGGUCCAGACUCCUACGGGAGGCAGCAGUAGGGAAUCUUCCGCAAUGGGCGAAAGCCUGACGGAGCAACGCCGCGUGAGUGAUGAAGGUCUUCGGAUCGUAAAACUCUGUUAUUAGGGAAGAACAAAUGUGUAAGUAACUAUGCACGUCUUGACGGUACCUAAUCAGAAAGCCACGGCUAACUACGGG
RNAcentral lists this ribosomal RNA (497 nucleotides) under uncultured bacterium. RNAcentral describes it as "partial 16S ribosomal RNA". It matches the Rfam family "Bacterial small subunit ribosomal RNA", at positions 28 to 507 of the family's 1533-position model. The record is from RNAcentral.